GUGUCAGCAGCCGCGGUAAUACGUAGGGGCCAAGCGUUGUCCGGAGUUACUGGGCGUAAAGGGUGCGCAGGCGGUGGGUUACGUCGUGUGUGAAAGCCCCCGGCUUAACCGGGGAGGGUCGCGCGAAACGGGCUCACUGGAGGCAAGGCGAGGUCGGUGGAAUUCCCGGUGUAGUGGUGAAAUGCGUAGAGAUCGGGAGGAACACCAGAGGCGAAGGCGGCCGACUGGACUUGACCUGACGCUGAGGCACGAAGGCGUGGGGAGCGAACGGGAUUAGAUACCCUGGUAGUCCACGCCGUAAACGAUGAGUGCUAGAUGCAGCGGGUAUUGACCCCUGCUGCGUCGUAGCUAACGUGUUAAGUCUCCCGCCUGGGGAGUACGCACGCAAGUGUGAAACUUAAAUGAAUUGACGGGG
Molecule: ribosomal RNA, 415 nt
Filed under: uncultured prokaryote
Description: bacterial SSU rRNA
Rfam family: Bacterial small subunit ribosomal RNA
Source: RNAcentral